RNAcentral lists this long non-coding RNA (1724 nucleotides) under Pan troglodytes (chimpanzee). RNAcentral's name for it is "long non-coding RNA NONPTRT012595". The record is from RNAcentral. Lineage: Eukaryota; Metazoa; Chordata; Mammalia; Primates; Hominidae.
CUGGAUUGGAACCCCUUUCCGGUAAGAAUUUCGUAUUUGAGAUUCACCUCUGACUUGCCUAUCCUGCAGUUUAAUGAGAAUUUAAGAGGGGCCCAAGGAGUAUGACAACUGGAGGUAUGUCAUACUUCCAGUUUUCCUUAUACUGAAGGCUGUGUACAUGUAUUCUUGAGAAAUAUUCAUAAACAUAGGCUUAGUGUAGAAUUGUCUGUUAGUGCAAGAUGAUGACAGAAAAAUGGAUUUAAAAUGUUGUAUUCAAAUUAAGAUGUCCAGGCAUGGACUGAACAGCCAGUGAAUGUAAAGGCUGGGUGAGGAGUUAGGGAGCCAGCGAAUGUUAAAACUUCAUUCCCUGGGAUGAUCUGUGGUUUGCUGAAGAUUAUUAUGUGAUUGAGUUCUCCACUGCCUUGAAUAGCAAGCCAACAGAGAGUAAUACAAAUCAAUACAUUUCUAAAUUACUCCGUUCUGCCCUUUCUCUCCCUGAUUUCAUCUACAUGGAUCCAACAACCCAGCCUCGGAGCCAAGUGUGACAUUACAUAUCAAUGCCUUAGCCCUUACUAAGGAAAUUCACAAUCUAGCAACCUCUAUAAAAUCAAUCCCAAAUAUUUAGCAUUGCCUGUGUCUACCCCUAAGUUAGCCCCCAGGAACCCUGUACCCAGAGUUCCAUUAUCCUUACUCCCCUCAUCUAUCAUGCCUUCCCCAAGAGUGGCAGGAUACCCUUAGGAAAGCUCAUGGUACACGAAGCCUGAAUGCCUACCAAGAGGAGUAGAUGGCUUAAUUUUCGGGUUCUUAUCCACACCUUCCUGCUUUUUUCUUCUCCUUUCAGGACUAAUUUUUCUUCUCUUGUGGUCUCAAAUCCUGUCUCACCAGAGACAAGAGUUCUUGCAGAAAUUCACCUUGACUAAGGAGCUAGAUACUCAAUUUAUUUGCUGGUCCUUGGAACAUUUGCAUUUUAAAGACAGGGUGGUAACGGUGAUCAAAUGUAUGUGCUUUCUCCUGGACACAAAUAAAUAUCCCAGUUCAUCGGUGGCUAAUCAUUCCUGCUAGUCCCUAAUGUGUUUUUCCCCUUUAUUCCUUUAAUUUCAAGAUAAUAAUAAUAAUAAGAAAAAUUAUUUUUCCUUUUUCAUUUUCUUCUAUUAGUUGGCCUGCCUAAACAUUUCUCAUUAGUUUUCAUAUCAAUUUAUCAUACCACAUACCCAUUCUAACUUGAUUUUGACCUUACCUUGUGCUUGGAUUUUUGGUGAACCCAGUAUUCACAAAAACUGGGCAGAGACAUGAGGUUUUGAUACCAGUUUUUUCCAAGGCCUGAAGUUCUGAUGUCAGACCUCUGUGAAAGCCAACAGCGGCAAAUUUGCUGGAACUGUAAGAGAAUUAUUAAGCAUUGUUAGCUAAGGGAGAGUGAAACCAAUCCUCAGCUUUCUGUGAGAAGGCGGUAUCAUUUGGCUUAAGAACAAGUGGAAGCCAAAAAUCAGCCACUUGUGAUUUUUCUGAGAGUAUAAAUGGCAAUUCAUUUUCAUUUUCUUACAUGAUUCAGCAGAAUUGUGAACGUAUCUCAUUUCUUAAACAACAAUAACAAAAGAACAAAAAUAACUCUAUUGAUUGGCUUAAUGUUCAGUUUUCCAUCCUACAUGUAAGGUUUUUCCAUUGAAUCUUCAAACUGUUUUCUAAUCAGUUUUUAUUGCUGCUUUUAUUUUGAAAAAUAUGAAUCAGGAAAAAUACAUUUAGAAAUU